AUUUUUUUGUUAUUAUUAUUAUUUUACCUAAUGAUUUAAGCCAUCGUUUCUAGGCUAUGAAUCUAAAUGGAAUGACAAUGUGGUGAUACAAACAGAAUUUAAUUAGAAAUGUCGAGAUAUUAUUAUUAAUAAUUGUUUUUUCUGAGAGCAAGGGACAAUAAACAUACCAUCUCGUGACAGUAAUGGAGCAGCUGUUCGUGAAAGUGCCGUACGCCACUGAUGGUUAUUGUCUUUAGAUGUUUUUCUCUGUGGGUUCGGUCAUCGAUCCUUGUAUUACUGUGAGGGAGACUCGCUGUACCUCCCCAGGAAGCGCGCGGAAAACACCUUCAGUCUUCAGUCUCCACGCGCAGAUCGGAGCGCGAGCGCAUCUCUCUCAUUCCUUCAGGCGGGAAGCGCGCGGGUCUGAAGAGACCUGCUGCAGCAGUCGCUAAUAAAACUGAUAUUUUUUGGAAGCACGCCGUCGAAUAAGUGAUGAAGUAUUUAUUGCUUACUUCUCAGGCUUUAUGACAAAUGUCAUUGGAGUAAGUUCACGGCACCUCUGGAUAUAUACUGUUGCUUCGGCAGAAUAUCAAGGAAUAAUGUGGAAAUAUAUCAGAUGCCAUGGUGGAUGACAUCCGACAAUGAACAUUUUUAGAAGCAAUUCCAAGCUUAUCAACCAAAGACAAAGCCAUUUGACUAUAACUGUGUGCUCCACCCUGAUGUCAAGGCCUUGUCCCUCCACCCGAGGUCCUAAACCUCCUGUGGCACCAAAACCAAGGCUAGCCUCUGAGGUUAGCCAAAGCAUUGUGGGCAAUGGGGACAUUACAUCCUCUGACAGACUGGAGCUGAACCAGGAUAACGAAUCAGAUGUCACACAGGAAGAAGAAGAUGCAUCCAGAGAAAACUGUACAGAUGAUGACGUGGAAAACAACUCAUCUGACAAAGAGUUUAUUGUAAAUUAUGACACUAACCAUGACACAAGUUGCUAUAAUGAAAUAGAGGAAGAAUUAAAAAUGGCUGUGGAUGAAACCGUGGGAGAGGAUGAAGGUAAAAUUCAUCAAGCCACUGAAGUACAGCAUGCAGCCUCUUCAGAUUUAUCGGAAGUGGUCUAUGAAAUUUUUGAUUCAGCAAAUGAGGACCUCAGCAAAAACACUGAUGAUAUCAAGCCAGCUGAGAAUGGAGAAGAUGCUUAUAAUGUACUUGAGGACACCUGUGCAUUUUCUGAGAAUGAGACACUGAAUAUAGAUCAGCCUGCAAGUGAAUCUCAAAGUCUGUAUGAGGAGUUUGAGGAACCACCAUCUGACCGUUUUUAUUGUGCCAGUAAUCAGCAUGAAGAGGACACUAAAGCAGAUGUAAAAUGCGUUCAUGAGGCACAAGAAGAUGAGACUGGACAUUCUUCAAAGGCUACAACCUGCAGUCAACCCUCACUAUGUGAGGAAUACCCUUAUGAUGUCAUUGGCACACUGGAUGACAACAGUACUUGGCAAGCUGAACGUGCUACGAAAGACCCAUCUGGACGUUUCAGGUUUGCAGAGGAGACAGAAGAUGCAUUUGAGCCCUACUCUGUCAUAGAGGUUGUGCCAAGUGAUUUGACAUGUACCUCUGAUCCAGAAGCAAGAUGCACUGAUGAUGAGUCCAGCAAUGAGAAACCAAUGGACUCUGAGAUCGCAACAGAGGGAACGUCAAACCAAGAGCCUUACUACGUAUCAUCAGAUGAUGUGGCAGAGUUAGAGAAGGAACGGGCAAAAUUAGAAAAUGAUGUCUCUCAUCCUGUUUCUGAGGGUCAAGAGAUGGCAAAAAAUGAAGAAGUGAAUGACUAUGCUGAUAUCAAAGACAACGAUGGUGAAGAUCAGCAGGUGGAGUGUGUGUCAUCUGAAGAUUACGUUGAGAUAGGAGAUGAAGAUGAGCCGAUAAACAUGGAGAGGAAAACCAAGGGCAAAAGUAUAAGAGAACGAUCAGUAAGAAGGGGUCAAGCUCUCUUAAGUCAGAGGAAUAGCUGUCAGCCACGUCUCAGACUUUGCAACAUCACUGUUCCUG
Molecule: long non-coding RNA, 2016 nt
Organism: Sinocyclocheilus anshuiensis
Lineage: Eukaryota; Metazoa; Chordata; Actinopteri; Cypriniformes; Cyprinidae
Source: Ensembl